Melopsittacus undulatus (budgerigar) is the source of this 2637-nucleotide long non-coding RNA. RefSeq lists it as uncharacterized. NCBI's taxonomy places the organism in Eukaryota, Metazoa, Chordata, Aves, Psittaciformes, Psittaculidae. The record is from RefSeq and is a predicted model, not a curated record. The transcript is spliced from 4 exons.
CCAACACAUAACAAAAGGGGAAAAAGGUCACCUCCAUGCAGGACACCCUCCACCAAUGGUGACUAUGGACCCUGGGGGACUCCCACCACUGAAGAUGACGACUACAGACCCUCGGCACACCGCUGGAUCCUCGAUGAUCUCACAAUGAAGAGAAGCAUCUAGGUGGUGUAAAAUAUCAGCUCUCAUCUCUGAAGCACCGACUUACUCUGCACCACCUCCAGAACCACCUGCUCUUUCAAAAGAAAAUAGCACUACACAAUGUAGACAAUUAGAAAAAACAUACAAAAAUAAUGAGUGAAUCUGUAAACAAACAACUUCAUUCUGUCGUAAGAAUGCAUUUAACUCAGUUACUUAAUUGGCCAAAACUAUCUGAUACCCCACGUUUUCUUUAUUAUUGUCUUACACACUAAGGUUGUGGUGUCUAACAAGUUAAAUAUGCUCAUGACUAAUAUAAAACUGAAAAAUAUCCUUCAAGGCCAAACGGCAUCUCAGACUGAUCUAAUAGAGAUUAACAAAUUCCUGAAGAUCCUUGUGCAGAUUUACCACCAGCACAGUAAACAUCCUGCCAACAGUCUGCCAUGCAACAGGAAAAUGAGGUACUGCUGGGGGCAAAAUAGCUGCAGAGGGAAGAUGAAGGCUGCAGUGCUGUUUCAGACAGCAUGCCCCUGUAGCCCUGCUCUGUGCUGAUCCCCAACUUGGAGGGCAUGUUGGCCACAUCCUGCCCAGUGCUAAGAUGACAGGACAGUCUGGUUUGGAAACCACGUAUCAGCAUCAGCGAGGCAGGUGCCUGAGCUCGGUGCUCUCAGAGGCAAGGCGUAUCUUUUCAGAUACGGUAUUUUACCAGUGAUAAUAAUGAGCCAGUUGGGAAAACUUAACUGGGGAAGUGGUAGAUUCUCUAUCACAUGAAGUUAUUAAAUCAAGACUGUGGAUUUCUGAAGUAUGCCUUUCUAGCACAAACAGAACAUUAGCUUCCUGGUAAAGAAUUUAUGUUCAGAACACUGUAGGUCUGAACACAGAGGUUACAGUAGCUGGCUUUAUUGAUGUCUUCUGACUCGAAAAUCUAGGAAUCUAGCAUCAUCUGUUAUCACUUCCUUUACACCAAAGAUCUCCUUGACUCUUCUGGGAAUCCAUUAAAGCUGAAAAGCCUGCCAAGCUGAGAAAAUUACCAUAGUAUUUCCAGCUGCUUUCCCCAGAAUUUUACAGUAAUCCUUCCCCUGGCUCCAAGCAAGACUUGCCACUUUUCUUACGAGUAGCUUGAGCAAGUAGCAUUGUUAGGUUGUUCCUCUACUGCUCCUUAUGGGCAAUCCCCUCUCAGGUAUUGCCAAGCCACUGAAGGAAUUCAGAAGUUCCCCUUGCCUUCCCCGACACGGGUGUAAGAAUUUCUUUGCAAGUCUGGAAGCUGGCACCACAAUUCAUACUGAAGAAGCAGCUGACACGACCAAGCAGAGCCUACCAGGCCUGCAAACAGCUUGCAGAUUUAAGUGGUAGCCUAAAUAAGAACCACUCUUGAAUGUCAUUCAUAACAAAGUGGAAAAACUAGCAACAUCCCGCACGUUUCUCACAUGCAGAAGUGCCAAACAGGAGGCAGCUCUUGUUAUCUGGUUGCCAAGGACAGGACCUGGUUGAAUACUCCCUCCCCACCCCCAGCACAGACCCAUCUGAACAACUGAGAAACAUGAGCAAUUCUGCACCAUGCUGAUGAAGUUUUUAAUCUACAUGUCACCCAAGCUGAACUGCAAAACACGGCUGCCUGCCCUAGUUAUCAAAUGACCUGAAAUUCAGCAUGAUCAUCUGCCGUAACAGCUGGUUCAUUGACAAUGAGAGAAACUCCUGCCUGGCUGCUGAACCAGAGGCAGGGCCAGGAUCCCUGGGACCUGGAAUGCACACCCUCCAACACUGAGAUGCUUCUCCCAUCCCCCUGCAUGGCACAGCCUCAAAAUGUCUUGUGUUCUUCAAAUUCUGCAUGCUGACUUCUUCCUCUACAUAUUUAUUUCUCAUCUGUAUCAUUAAAAAGAGAUUUCAGAGACCUGCCACUUCAAAGUGGGGGAAAAUAAUGAAACAUCUUUCCCUAGGAAUUAAAGCAGAGGUGAGGUUGGAUCUUGUCAGUUUAUUUCUUUCUGUCUAGGGUGCUACAUAAAAAAUACACAGCACUAGCAAUUUUACUUCUUCUAAGUAGCAAGUUAUAGAGGAACACAGUACAAAAUAUUAAAAUGAUUGUCAAGAGAUAAGUAUCCAAAACAGCCAAAGUUAUGGAGCUAAAUAACUCUGACAGAUGGUAUGAAUACUUUUUUAAGAAUGACUCACAUUCAAACACAGUGAUACUUCCUGAAGUUGCUUUGAUGCACACACCAAGUUACAUUUUUCUAUUCAAUUGAAAAAAAAAAUCUAAUCACUUAUUAGUACAUUUUUACAGUUUUAUUACUGUGAAAGGUAUUAUUAGUGAAAUUUAAUACUGCUUAACAGUAUAAUGAACAGAAUUAGAUGUCUGGACUAUGUCUUAGUGCUUUUGCACUUCUUCCCCAAAUGGAACAAAGAGUGAAAGCUGAACAUAAUAGCAGCCUUCUGGUAUCUGUAUAGGGCCUACGAGGGUGCCAGAGAGGGACUCUUCAUCAGGGACUGUAGUGAUAAGACAAGGUG